GAUGAACGCUGGCGGCGUGCCUAAUACAUGCAAGUCGAGCGAACGGACGAGAAGCUUGCUUCUCUGAUGUUAGCGGCGGACGGGUGAGUAACACGUGGAUAACCUACCUAUAAGACUGGGAUAACUUCGGGAAACCGGAGCUAAUACCGGAUAAUAUUUUGAACCGCAUGGUUCAAAAGUGAAAGACGGUCUUGCUGCCACUUAUAGAUGGAUCCGCGCUGCAUUAGCUAGUUGGUAGGGUAACGGCUUACCAAGGCAACGAUGCAUAGCCGACCUGAGAGGGUGAUCGGCCACACUGGAACUGAGACACGGUCCAGACUCCUACGGGAGGCAGCAGUAGGGAAUCUUCCGCAAUGGGCGAAAGCCUGACGGAGCAACGCCGCGUGAGUGAUGAAGGUCUUCGGAUCGUAAAACUCUGUCAUUAGGGAAGAACAUAUGUGUAAGUAACUGUGCACAUCUUGACGGUACCUAAUCAGAAAGCCACGGCUAACUACGUG
This 497-nucleotide ribosomal RNA is filed under the name uncultured bacterium. RNAcentral's name for it is "partial 16S ribosomal RNA". It matches the Rfam family "Bacterial small subunit ribosomal RNA", at positions 28 to 507 of the family's 1533-position model. The record is from RNAcentral.